Molecule: transfer RNA, 69 nt
Filed under: Ochotona nigritia (black pika)
Lineage: Eukaryota; Metazoa; Chordata; Mammalia; Lagomorpha; Ochotonidae
Also listed under: 1 other name
Description: tRNA-Glu
Rfam family: tRNA
About the family: Transfer RNA (tRNA) molecules are approximately 80 nucleotides in length. Their secondary structure includes four short double-helical elements and three loops (D, anti-codon, and T loops).
Source: RNAcentral
GUUCUUGUAGUUGAACUACAACGGUGGUUUUUCAUAUCGCUGGUCAUGGUUAGAGUCCAUGCAGGAAUU